This 469-nucleotide small RNA is filed under the name Pongo abelii (Sumatran orangutan). Its description in RNAcentral is "processed transcript". The record is from RNAcentral. Lineage: Eukaryota; Metazoa; Chordata; Mammalia; Primates; Hominidae.
CCCAGUCAAAGGAUAAGGAUUUGAGAAACAUGCAUUUUACUUUCAGUUGAUUAGAAAUUGCCUGAUAUAAAUAUAAUUUAACGUUUUAAUAGUCCUUUAUUUAUAAUAGGGCUCCAGUGGUCCAGAAUCUUUUACUGUCUACCACUACAAUGGAUUGAAGCAGUCAAAUUAUAAUGAAAAGGUCAUGUACGUAGAAGGGACUGCAGUUGUGAUGGGUUUUGAAGAUCCCAUGCUACAAACAGAUGACACUCCUAUUAAACGCUGUCUGCAAACCAAAUGGCCAUACAUUGAGUUACUCUGGACCACAGAUCGCUCUCCUUCACUAAAUUAAUUUGCCUAAGUAUUUAUAAGGAAGAUCUUAAUAACAGAUGUUGAAAGAGGGAGUCAAGCCUGGCAAUUGGCUGGAUUAAGCUAAACACUGGUAUCAUUGAUUAACUGUAAAUAACAAUUAAAAACACAUUUUCAGUGU